UACGUAGGGUGCAAGCGUUGUCCGGAAUUAUUGGGCGUAAAGAGCUCGUAGGCGGUCUGUCGCGUCUGCUGUGAAAAUCCAGGGCUCAACCCUGGACCUGCAGUGGGUACGGGCAGACUAGAGUGCGGUAGGGGAGAUCGGAAUUCCUGGUGUAGCGGUGAAAUGCGCAGAUAUCAGGAGGAACACCGGUGGCGAAGGCGGAUCUCUGGGCCGUAACUGACGCUGAGGAGCGAAAGCAUGGGGAGCAAACGGG
RNAcentral lists this ribosomal RNA (253 nucleotides) under uncultured bacterium. Its description in RNAcentral is "partial 16S ribosomal RNA". It matches the Rfam family "Bacterial small subunit ribosomal RNA", at positions 524 to 776 of the family's 1533-position model. The record is from RNAcentral.